This 736-nucleotide ribosomal RNA is filed under the name uncultured Corynebacterium sp. RNAcentral describes it as "bacterial SSU rRNA". It matches the Rfam family "Bacterial small subunit ribosomal RNA", at positions 28 to 776 of the family's 1533-position model. Lineage: Bacteria; Bacillati; Actinomycetota; Actinomycetes; Mycobacteriales; Corynebacteriaceae. The record is from RNAcentral.
GACGAACGCUGGCGGCGUGCUUAACACAUGCAAGUCGAACGGAAAGGCUCCAGCUUGCUGGAGUACUCGAGUGGCGAACGGGUGAGUAACACGUGGGCAAUCUGCCCUGCACUCUGGGAUAAGCCUGGGAAACUGGGUCUAAUACUGGAUAGGACCUUUCUCCUCAUGGGGUUUGGUGGAAAGUUUUUCGGUGCAGGAUGAGCCCGCGGCCUAUCAGCUUGCUGGUGGGGUAAUGGCCUACCAAGGCGACGACGGGUAGCCGGCCUGAGAGGGUGAUCGGCCACAUUGGGACUGAGAUACGGCCCAGACUCCUACGGGAGGCAGCAGUGGGGAAUAUUGCACAAUGGGCGGAAGCCUGAUGCAGCGACGCCGCGUGAGGGAUGACGGCCUUCGGGUUGUAAACCUCUUUCAGUAGGGACGAAGCGUAAGUGACGGUACCUGCAGAAGAAGCACCGGCUAACUACGUGCCAGCAGCCGCGGUAAUACGUAGGGUGCGAGCGUUGUCCGGAAUUACUGGGCGUAAAGAGCUCGUAGGCGGUUUGUCACGUCGUCUGUGAAAUCCUAGGGCUUAACCCUGGACGUGCAGGCGAUACGGGCUGACUUGAGUACUACAGGGGAGACUGGAAUUUCUGGUGUAGCGGUGGAAUGCACAGAUAUCAGGAAGAACACCGAUGGCGAAGGCAGGUCUCUGGGUAGUAACUGACGCUGAGGAGCGAAAGCAUGGGUAGCGAACAGG